GGUUGACCUCGAAUCAGGUAGGACUACCCGCUGAACUUAAGCAUAUCAAUAAGCGGAGGA
This 60-nucleotide ribosomal RNA is filed under the name Calonectria reteaudii. RNAcentral describes it as "partial 28S ribosomal RNA". It matches the Rfam family "Eukaryotic large subunit ribosomal RNA", at positions 1 to 57 of the family's 3401-position model. Lineage: Eukaryota; Fungi; Ascomycota; Sordariomycetes; Hypocreales; Nectriaceae. RNAcentral also lists the same sequence under 2 other names. The record is from RNAcentral.